UACGGGGGGAGCAAGCGUUGUUCGGAUUUACUGGGCGUAAAGGGCGCGUAGGCGGCCACCGCAAGUCGGUUGUGAAAUCUCUGGGCUUAACCCAGAAAGGUCAACCGAUACUGCGGGGCUAGAGUGCAGAAGGGGCAACUGGAAUUCUCGGUGUAGCGGUGAAAUGCGCAGAUAUCAGGAGGAACACCGGUGGCGAAGGCGGGUCUCUGGGCCGAUACUGACGCUGAGGAGCGAAAGCGUGGGGAGCGAACAGG
RNAcentral lists this ribosomal RNA (254 nucleotides) under uncultured bacterium. RNAcentral's name for it is "partial 16S ribosomal RNA". It matches the Rfam family "Bacterial small subunit ribosomal RNA", at positions 524 to 776 of the family's 1533-position model. The record is from RNAcentral.